Long non-coding RNA from Silurus meridionalis, 320 nucleotides. RefSeq lists it as uncharacterized. The record is from RefSeq and is a predicted model, not a curated record. The transcript has 4 exons. NCBI's taxonomy places the organism in Eukaryota, Metazoa, Chordata, Actinopteri, Siluriformes, Siluridae.
GCGAAACCAGAUCACACGUGACCAUCUGUUCCAUCAGCUGCUGCAGGCUGGGAUCCUCUCCACAUCUCAGUUUUUUAAAGGGUUCUCAGAAACCCUCGAGAUAGCAGAUGAUAUGGCGAUUGACAUUCCUUAUGUAUGGCAGUACAUAGCGGAGCUCGUUAAUCCUGUGCUUCGGGAAGGAGGAAUCUCUUUGAGAUAAUUAUUAAUUGAAUUUAGCAAACCACUACUUCCUGUGGCAAGAGCCGGCAUAUUAUUUGCAGAAAUAUUGCAGCUUCUCUGCAAACAAAUGAGCCAAAAGGAAGUGGAGGUCUUAUGGAGGA